GCCGGCAGGGGUCAGAGCCAUCGCUGAGGCGGCGCUUUGCGUCCGGCUCUUCCUAAGGCACCGCGCCUCGCAAGCCCUGCAGCUCCUCCACGGAGGAAAGCGGGAGCGCGUCCUGAGGAGAGACUGGAGCCCUGUCCUCAACCCUGUGCAGGCCCCUGAAGAGCGGGAAGCCGAGGCUCCUCCACCCCGUUGUGGCUUCGGGCGUCGCUUUCCCCUAGUUGGUGCUGUUCCCUGAAAUAAUGAGGAACCGCCAGGAGCAGGGGCGUGAAGCUGAGUGAGGAAGAAGAAGAUGAGUCGGUCUCCGGAGCGUCGGCUCAGGUGUUUUGCUUUCAUGUAUGUCUGUGCACCACAUGUGUGCAGUGCCUGUGGAACCCAGAAGAGGGUGUUGAACCCUUCUAGAACUGGAAUUACAGUUGGCUGUAAACCAUCAUGUGAGUGCUGGGACACAAACCCAGGUCUGGAAGAGCGGCCAAUGCUCUUAGCUGCUGAGCCAUCUCUCCAGCCCCAAGCACCAGACUUCUGGGCUAAGGAAACGGCAUGAAUUCAGAUGAUCCUGGAGGUGUUUGGAAACGUCCUUACAGGCACCAUAGCAGACAACCAGAGCCAUCUGUCACCCACUGCCUGCACCACCCUUGACUGAAUCAGCACACAGGUUCCAACCUGGGGACUUGGUGUGGGUCCACCACUUACCCAGCAAGACUCCGGAACCUUCCUGGAAGGAACUGUAUCCUGUGAUCCAAAGGCCAUCAAGGUAGUAUGACUGCAGUUUGGAUCCACCAAUCCCAUGUAAAGGUGGACAUAGCCAGCCAGGGGAAGGUGACAAAUGGAGGGUCAUGCAAACUUCCCAUUGCCCUCUAAAGGUAUAGCUGACCUGCAUCUUGAACUCAGACUGACACUAAUAUUGGGAAUCUUGGUAGGUAACUCCUAUAUAUGGCCAACUAAAAGUGUUGAAGUCUGGGAUUGGGAACUGUCUCGAACUGCAGAUAAGAAAAUAAUAGGCAUUUUCUGGAAUGCCACCUCUCAACCUGUGUUUAGAUUCAUCCUGUGCGAUUUCUUUGAUAACAAUAAACUUAUGGCUGAAUGGGAAAGUUAAAGUCCAGUUCACCCAGGGUGUGGGACCAAAAUGCAGGAAAUAUCCUUCUGGCCUUCACCAUUUUAUGCAUGCCCAGCCGAUGGGCCUAUACAUUGUCAUAAAUGUAAAGAGAUCAUUGUUCCACCCCAGGCUGUGAGACUAAGUCUGACCAGGGUGGACAUAAAGACCCAUUCAUCUCCAUUCAGUGAGUGUAUCCUUCUCAGGAUUGUAAACCUGGGACCUGCAACCCCUUCACUUUCAAGAUCACGGCCUGGAAUGAAUUGAGCUCCAAACACUGGCUUGCAGGUCAGACCUGGGGGUUUGUACUUAAAUUUAAGAAUUAUGGAAACAGUCCCGGUGUAGAAUUCACUAUUCAGAAAAGGGUACCAUCCUACCUAGCCAAUCCUGUAGGUCUUAAAAUAAACUGGCAGCCUCAGUCAGGGAUUAGGGUAUCUCAUUUCUCUGUCCCCCCUUCUCAGGCCACUCCACCCACAGUCACAAUCAAGAGGCUGCAGUAAUAGAGUCAUCCUCACCCCUACUGCAGUACGGACUCAUAUCCCCUGGUGAUGUCCCUGAGCUCAAGACCUUGAAGUUACUGCAUAAUUGGACAAAUUAUACACACCCAGCCUGGGAAGACAUUGUUAGCUUUGUCUAGGUCCCAGGCCUCCCUGUUAUAUGGGCUAGAGGUCAAUCUCUCUAUUAACUACUACCCCACCAGAAAAUUUAAAUUGAGUAUAAAACUUUUGCCUGAUUAUGAAGGACAUUUCCAUUCUGAGGCUCAUUAGGGCCUUGUUAGAAAAGAGUGUCAGUCGCAGCUCUACCCCUCCUCAUGAAGCAGGAGUCAGAGGUCAGUAGCAUCAGCCCUAGUUACUCAAGACCAGAGUUUUCAAACACUAAGGAAUAAAGUAGACCAAGACAUAGCGUGGAAAACAAGUAGUUUCCCCAGCAGAAAUGGUUUUAUAGAAGCAUCGAGGACUGGAUUUGUUACUCUUGAAGGAAAGUCGUUUUUGUGCUGUUGUAAGUAAAAACUGUCUCUGUGUCAGUAACUCGGGAGUUACAUUGAAAACUUUAGAUAUGAUUCAGAAAAACUUAGAUUCAAGGGCAAAGGAGUGAACUGAGGCUUCUAAUUGGUUCAGUCUCUUUUCUCUUGGUCCCCAUGACUUAUACCCUUUAAUGGUCAUGGCUGGGCCUCUGCUUCAUACUGCUCCUUGGCAUCACAGUUGGCCCCUGCAUUUGAAGUUGGCUACUAACAUUAAAAGUAGAAUCAAGUCUGUUGCUAAAAUAUGAGCCCUACAGGCUCGUUACCAACCUGUACUUCAGCAUGAAUUGAUUUAACUUCUGUGAACUAGAGCCAGUAGGGAAUGUGAUGGCUAAGGUACCCAUUUUAGUAGUUUUUCCCUUUAACUUAAAUUCAUGAUUUUUUGUGCCCUUUCCAGAAUGGUAUAACUGUUGUGAAAUAAUUAGCUGCUUGCUCUGGCUUUUGUAACUCACUGAUGUAUGUAAGGGGAGUGAGGCAGUUUCUCACAGAGAUGCAAAUUCACAGAAAAAUUAAGUCAUUGUGGGUUUGCCUUUUAAAAACCCUUCUUUCAACCCCUUAUGGGAGCUAUGCCUUUAAUUUGGCUUUAAGGCUAUCACCCUGCUAGCAGUUUUAAUAAAUUCAUCUAAUUGUAAUCUGGAUUGAUUCUGUGGUCCUUUCCUGGUGGUCUCGAAUUUUGUAACAACCCAGCCUGAACUCCUUGUGUGGCAACGGGUUUAUAAUUUUGGUCUUUCUGUAGUGAAAUUCUGUAUUCCACCAUCAGCCCACAGGAGAACUAGUUUUCUUUCCUUUUUUUAGGGUUUAUUUAUAUAUUUUAUGUAUAUUAAUGUUCUAUCUGCAAC
This is a long non-coding RNA of Arvicola amphibius (Eurasian water vole), 2950 nucleotides long. RefSeq lists it as uncharacterized. The record is from RefSeq and is a predicted model, not a curated record. NCBI's taxonomy places the organism in Eukaryota, Metazoa, Chordata, Mammalia, Rodentia, Cricetidae. The transcript has 3 exons.